GCUGUGUUUGCAUGUGGAGUUUCUCUAGCAUGGUUAAAGGGAAAAGUGUUUUGCAAUUAUAACAGGUGUGCCUCUUAGUCCCUUCUUUCUGAAGCAUUUUCUAAUUAGGUAAGAAUUCAAACAGAAAUUGUCAAAUUUCGGAGGCUGUAACAGAUGGGAAAACCAAAUCACAGAACCUUGGAAGCCAGAGGUGUCCUUGAUGCCUCACAUAUUUUCAGCUGGAUUAGCUCUUUCGUCUCAUUUUUGGCCUGUGUUUUUCACACUAUUGGAGAGGCUCUCGUCUGGAGGAAAUUUGGAGCCAUGGGAAACCCUCUUCGCAGUCAGAGCCUUGCCUGACCCAGACCUCCUUGUUUGCCCUCCUCCUAUCUUAUUAAUGCAGCUGUGAGUACAUUUCCAGCACUCUUCACCUGCCACGGUGACGAGGGAUCAGGUGCCUGGUAGGGUAAUCAAUCUGGAGGGCUUUUAGCAGCGCAUCCUGCCACUGUUUGACAGCAUGUCUCCGUCAAGGAGACUGUCUUCCUUAGAUCGAUAAAUCAAUCAGUUCUUUUUACAUCUUAUGAAGCACUCCUCACGCCCCGUGUCACUCACGCUGCACCACACACAAAUAGAGAAUCAGGGUUGAGGUUGGCCCAAGCUUUCCCCAUUCACAUUCUAUCCCAUCAUCACGUAUCCUUCCCCAAAAUCAAUUCCUGACACAGUGGUAAUGGAUCAAAGUCCAGUUCUUUAUUCCUUUGAAGUGACGAGUAAAUCUGUCUGAAGUGUUGGAUGUUGUAGUGUGUUUAAAACUAAAUAAAUCACAUCUGUAAUUCAAAGGAGACUAAUUGCAAGGUUUAUGAUUAGAACUCUUCGAAGGAGACAGCAGUGGUUUCACUGAGACUAUUGAAAGGAACCCUGAACUCUCAUAGGCUGUCAAAGCUGGGAAAGGGGCACAGCUUUGACAGCCUAUGCCCCUUAGAAUCUAAACCCGGUGUUUGUUCCUGUGCACUGAGAAGUUCCCAGCCACCUUGUUGGUAUGGGGCCAAUAAGGGGUGAUAGUAGAUCCUCUCUAACCCAGAGAAAGACACGUUGUGUCACAUGUUGGGUUUGGGUUUAAGAGAUCACUUAAACAAUGGGUUCUACUCUUUGGGGGAAAAAAUGAAAACCUGUAUCUAUAAUGAUAAAAAUGAGUAUCUGUACCAUGUUGAGUAUAUUCACCUUUCAUGUGUAGAAUCUGAAACUCAUUUAUGUUGUAUAACUUAGUCAAGGUCGCACAACUGAUAAAUGGAAGAGCUGGAAAAGAACACCCUCCCCGCAACCUGGACAUCUAUCCAUACUAAGUCCCUUUUAUUUUUAAAAUUAAAAUUUAAAAAAUAAUGGUGGGAGCAUUCCUGUGGCAUGUGGAAGUUCCCAGGUCAGGGAUUGAAUCUUCACCAGCAGUGACCCAGCCAUAGCAGAGAAAACAUCAGAUCCUUAACCCACUGAACCACCAGAGAAUUGCUCUAAAUCCCUUUUAGAAAGUGACUUUGGCUGUUCAGAGUUUUCCUGAGUAGAAAUGUAUUCCCUUUCAGAGCACCUCAAGGGACAUUAGACUUAGCGAUACUCAACAGUUUGAGGUAUAGGGUCAUGUAUGUUGGAGGAGGAGUUUGGUUCAUGUUUCUUCUUACUCAUGUCCAAUCACUCUAUUUCUUCAUUGCUGAAAGGCAGCUUGACCUAAUGGUAAAGGCAUGAGUUUUGCAGCUAAAAAAUAUGGCAAUGAAGCCUGCUUCACCCUCUGCCCCCUAUAUAGAGCAUGACAAAGGAGGAAAGCUUAAUGGUUAAUAGAAUCAGCUCUCCUGUCAGAAUGUUGAAGCACAAAUCUGGUCCUGCUCUUAUUACCAUGUAACCUUGGGCAAGUGACUUGAGCUUUGUGUCUCUGUUUCUCCAUCUGCCAGGCAGUGAGGACUAAGAGAGCUAAUGUGCAUAAUGUCAGCAGAGAGCCAUCCCUGUGUCAGGCUCUGAAUAAGUGUUAGUUCCCAUCCCCGCAUCCCUGUCACUUCCCAACAUCUCCAAUGUGGUGUCACGAUACCAGUUUCAAGCUGAAGCUUUCACAUCUGCCUUAAUUUUCUUAAGCCCCAAAUCUCCAGUUUUCAAAUUAGAAAACGAAGAAAAAACACAGACCCCCAUCUUCGUGUCAAUAAUCUGCAAUUCAUGUUUUUUCAUAAAGAAACAUACAGCUUUCACAGAAAGCAGCAAAAAUAGCCAGUGAAGGGGAGAGCUACAGGUAGGCUGUAAUUAGGCUACUGAUUCAUAAUUCUGUCUUGCUUGUAUAUCUUUUUCAAUAAUGUGAGCCUCUCGAAGAGCUGAGGGCAACUCAGUAUUACAGGAACCCAAAACUCAUCACUCCCUAUUCCCUUUAAAAAAUUGAUGGGAGUUCCCAUUGUGGCACAGUGGUAAUGAACCUGACUAGUAGCCAUGAGGAUUUGGGUUUGAUUCCUAGCCUUGCUCAGUGUGUUAAGGAUACAGCAUUGCCAUGAGCUGUGGUGUAGGUCACAGGCAUGUCUAGGAUCCUGUGUUGCUGUAGCUGUGAUGUAGGCUGGCAGCUGUAGCUCUGAUUUGGUCCCUUGCCUGGAAUUUCCAUAUGCAGAGAGUGGGGCCCUAAAAAACAGAAAAAAAAAUAAAAAUAAAUAAAUUUAAAAGUGAUGGAUAUAUUACAUGAAAAGUUUGCAUUUUUUUUUGUAUGAAGUGUUAUUUAAAACUAAUUUGCUUUGGACUGAUUCCUUAGACCUUUUGUAAUAGGUGGUGGUAUAUCAUGAAGAUUACAGAAAAGGGCUUGAAGAGAGAGGCCAUAAAAGUAAACCUAAGAAUCUGUCCUAGAUUAAGGGAUAAUGUGUGGAUUGCCCAUUUAAAGGGAAGAAGGAAAAGAUCCCUUUUAUCUACAGGCAAAAGCAGUAAUAUCUGAAUGGAAAUCCAAGAGCAAGGCCAGGGAUGACCUGGCUGAUAAUUUGGGGCAGAUAAGGACAAAGUUCCUUUUGGGAAGAACCAAAUGGAACUUUCCUACCUAGGGUACUACCCACUUUAAGACCAGAAUGGAUUUGAGAGUUCAUCCGAAUCCUCCCCUCUCUCCCUGCCCACUCUGCCCAGAGAGGAGACACCCCCCAUUACUUAAGUAUUAGAGGCAGAGCUGACACAAACCCUGAUUCCCCUGAUUCUUGCCAAGUACUCUUUGCAGUACACUGUAUUAUCUCUCCAAGCAGACAUUUGUCCACCUAGCCAUUAGGGUUAUCCAAACCCAUAUUCUGGUGACACUGCUAAAAUGAGCAUCUAAACUGAUAAUGAUAGUUCAUUUCAUAUGGGCCAUAAAGUAGCAAUAACUGUCUUUAGCUUCUUGGUUGAAACCAGACCUGUAAUCUCAAGAUAAAUAGCUUUGCGUGCUUUUACCAAUCUCCCGAGCAAAUCUGUCUUGCUUGUUCCUUCACUCAGGAGCAGCAUAUGCUUAAUUUUCAGACUAAUGAAAUGAUUUCUAGGAGCUAAAUACACAUGAUGUACUUAGCGGAUUGUUAUUAAGUGGAUCCUUGCAGUCCUGAUGUUGUUAUGUAUCUGCCUGCUUAUUUUCCCAUUUACUCAUUGCACAUCCUCUCUGAAACGCACAUGGUCAAUGUGUUUGUCUCAGGUCCAUUGUACUCCCCCUUGAGUACCAUAACUGCCAAUCAAAUUAUUUUAUCAAUUCUCCAAACUCUUUUUUAAAAGUAAAUGUUAUACAGGUUUCUACACCCAAUGCUUUUACAGUUACAAUCAGGGAAACCACAGCAUUACUCAGAUUCCUUAGCAAAUCUAAUAUUAGAUCUAGCAUGAGAUACGUGUGCAGGGAACAGUUUUUCUCCAAUUAUAUUCCAUGUAGGCUAAAGUUAUUUAGUUGUAGUUUUCUUCAGUCACUUUAAUCUUCAGCCUGAUUAUUCUCUAGAUCAUUAUUUGGAUAAUUUUGUAUUUUUCCUAGUCCUGAAAAUUUCCAUGUUUCUUCAAAUACUUUAUUUUUCUAUAUCUUACUAAAUGUAUCUUUGACACUUGACAUGAGUUUUGUGGUAAUACCACAUAUAACAUGGUUUUCUUGUGUGUUACAAAAGUUGAAUUACAACUACCCAGUGCUUACAGAGGGCAGGGUAUUGUUUUCACUUGCUUUGAUUUAAACCCAACAUAUGCAUAGAAUGAGUUAUUUUUAAAGCUGAUCAACAUGGGAUACUUAAGACAAGUAGAACUUCUGUAGUUUUAACUCUGAGUUCUGUGAACUGUGUGUAUGUUCAAGGAAAAAAAAAAUCAAAACAUGGUUCUUGCCUUCAAAGAAUUUACAUUUGAGUGGAAAAGACAAGUAUGACCAAAAAUGAGUUAUUUUAAAAAUAUUUCAAGGUAAUACAUCACAGAUACAUGCUUACACUGUGGGGCCUAUAGACCCUUUUGAAGACUAUUAGAAGCAUUAGAAUUGAAAUGGGAAAAUUUGGUAGUGGGCCUUGAGCUGAGAGUUGUUAGAUGAAAAUGGUUGGCACACAGCAUAGACUACAUUUUGGUUCCCAGAUAUUCACUGUUGGUCCCAGGAGGAAGAUUGUCCUUUGCUGAGCUAUUAGUAUAGGGCUUGGACAUGAGAGUUGCUCUGGCCAGUGAGUGGCUGUCAGUUACAAGAGAAAACUUUAAGGAUCAGUGCAUGCAUUGAUAUGACGUCUUUUCUUUGAGCUACACAACUGGCAGUGUUUCAGAUAAAAGUUUCUCAGUGUAAUAGAACCACAGCCAACUCAUAAUGGGCUCAUAGCAAGAGAAAAUAUCAGCCUUAGUUGUAAGACAUCGAAGUGGUGCAAUCAUUGGUUACUCCAAUACAAACUAGUCUUAUCUUGAAUGAUGCCAGCAGGUUGAUGUGGGCUUUCUAGAUAGAGGGAGAAAUGACAAUUAAGCAAUUAGCAUUUUAUUCUUUGAGUAGA
This 4922-nucleotide long non-coding RNA is filed under the name Sus scrofa (pig). RNAcentral describes it as "lncRNA (ENSSSCG00000059354.1)". The record is from RNAcentral. Lineage: Eukaryota; Metazoa; Chordata; Mammalia; Artiodactyla; Suidae.